GACCACAGGCAGGAAUGAUUUCCUGUGGCGCUCUGUGGUGCAUCUGGGUGAGAGGAGUCUUCUGCUGAAGGUGCUCCUCUGCUGGGCCAGUGUGUCAUAGAGAGGGUGUGCAACAUUGUCCAAGAUGGACUGAAGCCUGGACAGCAUCCUCCUCUCUGCCACGGUCGUCAGAGUGUCCAGCUCCUCCCCCACGACAUCACCGGCCCUCCUGAUCAGUUGUUAAGUCUGUUGGUGUCCUGCGACCUUGUGCC
This is a long non-coding RNA of Morone saxatilis (striped sea-bass), 251 nucleotides long. RefSeq lists it as uncharacterized. The record is from RefSeq and is a predicted model, not a curated record. The transcript is spliced from 3 exons. NCBI's taxonomy places the organism in Eukaryota, Metazoa, Chordata, Actinopteri, Moronidae.